UACAGAGGGUGCGAGCGUUAAUCGGAAUUACUGGGCGUAAAGCGUGCGUAGAUGGUUAUGUAAGUCGGAUGUGAAAGCCCCGGGCUCAACCUGGGAAUUGCAUUCGAGACUGCAUAGCUAGGAUGCGGAAGAGGGAAGCGGAAUUUCCGGUGUAGCGGUGAAAUGCGUAGAUAUCGGGAGGAACACCAGUGGCGAAGGCGACUACCUGGCCUGUUCUUGACGCUGAGGCGCGAAAGCUAGGGGAGCAAACGGG
Molecule: ribosomal RNA, 253 nt
Filed under: uncultured bacterium
Lineage: Bacteria
Description: partial 16S ribosomal RNA
Rfam family: Bacterial small subunit ribosomal RNA
Source: RNAcentral